UGGUCCUGUGUGGGACUAGAAAGAGGACAUCUUUCCAGCACAAAUACCUGAAUAAAAGAUCUCACGACUAUACUGUCAAAAAGAAGGAACCUGAGGAAGUCACUUAUAGGCCAAAAAGAAAAAAAAAAAAGCCUGCGGUUCCUUGAAGUCACCAGUUCUACUGGGAACCUCCAUCUUCUACAAGCCCCUGGGUUUACAGAAUGACAAAAUGCCUAUCAGCUCAAAUGUCACCUCCUUAGGUAAGCUUUACUGACCACCCAAGUAACUAUGCU
RNAcentral lists this long non-coding RNA (272 nucleotides) under Mustela putorius furo (domestic ferret). RNAcentral describes it as "lncRNA (ENSMPUG00000030598.1)". Lineage: Eukaryota; Metazoa; Chordata; Mammalia; Carnivora; Mustelidae. The record is from RNAcentral.